GACGAACGCUGGCGGCGUGCUUAACACAUGCAAGUCGAACGGAAAGGCCCUGCUUUUGUGGGGUGCUCGAGUGGCGAACGGGUGAGUAACACGUGAGUAACCUGCCCUUGACUUUGGGAUAACUUCAGGAAACUGGGGCUAAUACCGGAUAGGAGCUCCUGCUGCAUGGUGGGGGUUGGAAAGUUUCGGCGGUUGGGGAUGGACUCGCGGCUUAUCAGCUUGUUGGUGGGGUAGUGGCUUACCAAGGCCUUGACGGGUAGCCGGCCUGAGAGGGUGACCGGCCACAUUGGGACUGAGAUACGGCCCAGACUCCUACGGGAGGCAGCAGUGGGGAAUAUUGCACAAUGGGCGGAAGCCUGAUGCAGCAACGCCGCGUGCGGGAUGACGGCCUGCGGGUUGUAAACCGCUUUCGCCUGUGACGAAGCGUGAGUGACGGUAAUGGGUAAAGAAGCACCGGCUAACUACGUG
RNAcentral lists this ribosomal RNA (468 nucleotides) under uncultured bacterium. RNAcentral's name for it is "partial 16S ribosomal RNA". It matches the Rfam family "Bacterial small subunit ribosomal RNA", at positions 28 to 507 of the family's 1533-position model. The record is from RNAcentral.